AUACGGAGGGGGCAAGCGUUACCCGGAUUUACUGGGUGUAAAGGGUCCGCAGGCGGUUAAGCAAGUCAGUUUUUAAAUACUCUGGCUCAACCAGAGAAUUGGAACAGAUACUGCUUAACUAUGAGUCUAGAGGGGGAAAACGGAACUGCCGGUGUAGCGGUGAAAUGCGUAGAUAUCGGCAGGAACACCUGUGGCGAAGGCGGUUUUCUACUCUGGUACUGACGCUCAUGGACGAAAGCGUGGGGAGCGAUCGGGAUUAGAUACCCCGGUAGUCCACGCCGUAAACGAUGGGUGCUGGGUGUCGGUCCGGUAAAACGGAUCGGUGCCGAAGUUAACACGUUAAGCACCCCACCUGGGGACUACGGCCGCAAGGUUGAA
Molecule: ribosomal RNA, 378 nt
Filed under: uncultured bacterium
Lineage: Bacteria
Description: bacterial SSU rRNA
Rfam family: Bacterial small subunit ribosomal RNA
Source: RNAcentral